RNAcentral lists this unclassified non-coding RNA (348 nucleotides) under soil metagenome. RNAcentral describes it as "partial contains 5.8S ribosomal RNA, internal transcribed spacer 2, and large subunit ribosomal RNA". The stretch from base 1 to 120 matches the Rfam family "5.8S ribosomal RNA", at positions 35 to 154 of the family's 154-position model. The record is from RNAcentral.
GAUGAAGAACGUAGCGAAAUGCGAAAAGUAAUGUGAAUUGCAGAAUUCAGUGAAUCAUCGAAUCUUUGAACGCACAUUGCGCCCGCCAGUAUUCUGGCGGGCAUGCCUGUCUGAGCGUCAUUUCAACCCUCACGCCCCUAGGGCGUGGUGUUGGGGAUCGGCCAGCGCCCUCGCGGGCGAGGCCGUCCCCUAAAUCUAGUGGCGGACCCGUCGUGGCCUCCCCUGCGAAGUAGUGAUAUUCCGCAUAGGAGAGCGACGAGCCCCUGCCGUUAAACCCCCAACUUUCUCAGGUUGACCUCAGAUCAGGUAGGAAUACCCGCUGAACUUAAGCAUACAAUAAGCGGAGGA